AACGUAGGAGGCGAGCGUUAUCCGGAUUUACUGGGCGUAAAGCGUGUGCAGGCGGUUCGGCAAGUUGGAUGUGAAAGCUCCUGGCUUAACUAGGAGAGGUCGUUCAAUACUACCGAACUUGAAGGCAUCAGAGGAAGAUGGAAUUCCCGGUGUAGUGGUGAAAUGCGUAGAUAUCGGGAGGAACACCAGUGGCGAAGGCGGUCUUCUGGGAUGUUCUUGACGCUCAUACACGAAAGCUAGGGUAGCGAACGGG
This 253-nucleotide ribosomal RNA is filed under the name uncultured bacterium. RNAcentral's name for it is "partial 16S ribosomal RNA". It matches the Rfam family "Bacterial small subunit ribosomal RNA", at positions 524 to 776 of the family's 1533-position model. The record is from RNAcentral.